GACGAACGCUUGCGUCUUUCUUAACACAUGCAAGUCGAACGCUGAAGACCUGGCUUUUGUUGGGUUGGAUGAGUGGCGAACGGGUGAGUAACACGUGAGUAACCUGCCCUCUUCUUUGGGAUAACGCCCGGAAACGGGUGCUAAUACUGGAUAUUCACUGGCCUUCGCAUGGGGGUUGGUGGAAAGGUUUGUUCUGGUGGGGGAUGGGCUCGCGGCCUAUCAGCUUGUUGGUGGGGUGAUGGCCUACCAAGGCUUUGACAGGUAGCCGGCCUGAGAGGGUGACCGGUCACAUUGGGACUGAGAUACGGCCCAGACUCCUACGGGAGGCAGCAGUGGGGAAUAUUGCACAAUGGGCGAAAGCCUGAUGCAGCGACGCCGCGUGAGGGAUGGAGGCCUUCGGGUUGUAAACCUCUUUCGCUCAUGGUCAAGCCGCAACUGUGGGUUGUGGUGAGGGUAGUGGGUAAAGAAGCGCCGGCUAACUACGUG
RNAcentral lists this ribosomal RNA (486 nucleotides) under uncultured bacterium. RNAcentral describes it as "partial 16S ribosomal RNA". It matches the Rfam family "Bacterial small subunit ribosomal RNA", at positions 28 to 507 of the family's 1533-position model. The record is from RNAcentral.